Molecule: ribosomal RNA, 511 nt
Filed under: uncultured bacterium
Lineage: Bacteria
Description: bacterial SSU rRNA
Rfam family: Bacterial small subunit ribosomal RNA
Source: RNAcentral
GAUGAACGCUGGCGGCGUGCCUAACACAUGCAAGUCGAACGGGAAUACAUUGGUAGCAAUACUGGUGUAUUCUAGUGGCGGACGGGUGAGUAACGCGUGAGCAACCUACCUCUCAGUGGGGGAUAACAGCUGGAAACGGCUGCUAAUACCGCAUAAAGUACUUUAGGGGCAUCCCUUAGGUACCAAAGAUUUUAUCGCUGAGAGAUGGGCUCGCGUCUGAUUAGCUAGUUGGUAGGGUAACGGCCUACCAAGGCGACGAUCAGUAGCCGGGCUGAGAGGUUGACCGGCCACAUUGGGACUGAGACACGGCCCAGACUCCUACGGGAGGCAGCAGUGGGGAAUAUUGGGCAAUGGGGGAAACCCUGACCCAGCCAUGCCGCGUGCAGGAUGAAGGCCCUAUGGGUUGUAAACUGCUUUUAGCCGGGAUAAACACCCGUUUUAUAACGGGCCCGAAGGUACCGGCUGAAUAAGACAUCGGCUAACUCCGUGCCAGGCAGCCGCGGUAAAAGUC